Molecule: ribosomal RNA, 253 nt
Filed under: uncultured bacterium
Lineage: Bacteria
Description: partial 16S ribosomal RNA
Rfam family: Bacterial small subunit ribosomal RNA
Source: RNAcentral
UACGUAGGGGACGAGCGUUGUCCGGAAUCAUUGGGCGUAAAGAGCGUGUAGGCGGCUUCUCAAGUCCUGCGUGAAAUCUCGAGGCUCAACCUCGAGCGGUCGUGGGAAACUGGGUGGCUAGAGUGCGGGAGAGGAGAGUGGAAUUCCUGGUGUAGCGGUGAAAUGCGCAGAUAUCAGGAAGAACACCCGUGGCGAAGGCGGCUCUCUGGAACGCAACUGACGCUGAGACGCGAAAGCGUGGGGAGCAAACAGG